CAGCCGCCGCGGUAUACGAAGGGUGCAAGCGUUACUCGGAAUUACUGGGCGUAAAGCGUGUGUAGGUGGUUGUUUAAGUCUGUCGUGAAAGCCCUGGGCUCAACCUGGGAAUUGCGAUGGAUACUGGGCGACUAGAGUGCGGUAGAGGAUAGUGGAAUUUCCGGUGUAGCAGUGAAAUGCGUAGAGAUCGGAAGGAACAUCUGUGGCGAAGGCGACUAUCUGGGCCAACACUGACACUGAGACACGAAAGCGUGGGGAGCAAACAGGAUUAGAUACCCCAGUAGUCCCUGUCUCUUAUACA
This 301-nucleotide ribosomal RNA is filed under the name uncultured bacterium. RNAcentral's name for it is "partial 16S ribosomal RNA". It matches the Rfam family "Bacterial small subunit ribosomal RNA", at positions 509 to 808 of the family's 1533-position model. The record is from RNAcentral.